UACGUAGGGGGCAAGCGUUAUCCGGAUUUACUGGGUGUAAAGGGAGCGUAGACGGCGAUGCAAGUCUGAAGUGAAAGGCGGGGGCCCAACCCCCGGACUGCUUUGGAAACUGUAUGGCUGGAGUGCAGGAGAGGUAAGUGGAAUUCCUAGUGUAGCGGUGAAAUGCGUAGAUAUUAGGGGGAACACCAGUGGCGAAGGCGGCUUACUGGACGGCAACUGACGCUGAGGCUCGAAAGCGUGGGGAGCAAACAGG
Molecule: ribosomal RNA, 253 nt
Filed under: uncultured bacterium
Lineage: Bacteria
Description: partial 16S ribosomal RNA
Rfam family: Bacterial small subunit ribosomal RNA
Source: RNAcentral